AUUGAACGCUGGCGGCAGGCCUAACACAUGCAAGUCGAGCGGAUGAAGGGAGCUUGCUCCUGGAUUCAGCGGCGGACGGGUGAGUAAUGCCUAGGAAUCUGCCUGGUAGUGGGGGAUAACGUCCGGAAACGGGCGCUAAUACCGCAUACGUCCUGAGGGAGAAAGUGGGGGAUCUUCGGACCUCACGCUAUCAGAUGAGCCUAGGUCGGAUUAGCUAGUUGGUGGGGUAAAGGCCUACCAAGGCGACGAUCCGUAACUGGUCUGAGAGGAUGAUCAGUCACACUGGAACUAAGACACGGUCCAGACUCCCACGGGAGGCAGCAGUGGGGAAUAUUGGACAAUGGGCGAAAGCCUGAUCCAGCCAUGCCGCGUGUGUGAAGAAGGUCUUCGGAUUGUAAAGCACUUUAAGUUGGGAGGAAGGGCAGUAAGUUAAUACCUUGCUGUUUUGACGUUACCAACAGAAUAAGCACCGGCUAACUUCGUG
This 484-nucleotide ribosomal RNA is filed under the name uncultured bacterium. RNAcentral's name for it is "partial 16S ribosomal RNA". It matches the Rfam family "Bacterial small subunit ribosomal RNA", at positions 30 to 507 of the family's 1533-position model. The record is from RNAcentral.